UACGAAGGGUGCAAGCGUUACUCGGAAUUACUGGGCGUAAAGCGUGCGUAGGCGGUUUGUUAAGUCUGAUGUGAAAGCCCUGGGCUCAACCUGGGAAUGGCAUUGGAUACUGGCAACCUAGAAUGUGGUAGAGGGUGGCGGAAUUCCCGGUGUAGCAGUGAAAUGCGUAGAUAUCGGGAGGAACAUCCGUGGCGAAGGCGGCCACCUGGACCAACAUUGACGCUGAGGCACGAAGGUCAGGGGAGCAAACGGG
This 253-nucleotide ribosomal RNA is filed under the name uncultured bacterium. RNAcentral's name for it is "partial 16S ribosomal RNA". It matches the Rfam family "Bacterial small subunit ribosomal RNA", at positions 524 to 776 of the family's 1533-position model. The record is from RNAcentral.